GAUGAACGCUAGCUACAGGCUUAACACAUGCAAGUCGAGGGGAAACGAUGAGAGAGCUUGCUCUCUUAGGCGUCGACCGGCGCACGGGUGAGUAACGCGUAUCCAACCUACCCAUUACAGGGGGAUAACCUUGCGAAAGUAAGACUAAUACCCCAUGGCAUUUUAUGGUGGCAUCAUUAUAGGAUUAAAGAUUUAUUGGUAAUGGAUGGGGAUGCGUCUGAUUAGCUUGUUGGCGGGGUAACGGCCCACCAAGGCAACGAUCAGUAGGGGUUCUGAGAGGAAGGUCCCCCACAUUGGAACUGAGACACGGUCCAAACUCCUACGGGAGGCAGCAGUGAGGAAUAUUGGUCAAUGGGCGAGAGCUUGAACCAGCCAAGUAGCGUGCAGGAUGACGGCCCUAUGGGUUGUAAACUGCUUUUAUAGGGGAAUAAGGUGAGCUACGUGUAGUUUAUUGCAUGUACCCUAUGAAUAAGGACCGGCUAAUUCCGUG
This 490-nucleotide ribosomal RNA is filed under the name uncultured bacterium. RNAcentral describes it as "partial 16S ribosomal RNA". It matches the Rfam family "Bacterial small subunit ribosomal RNA", at positions 28 to 507 of the family's 1533-position model. The record is from RNAcentral.